RNAcentral lists this ribosomal RNA (208 nucleotides) under uncultured bacterium. RNAcentral describes it as "partial 16S ribosomal RNA". It matches the Rfam family "Bacterial small subunit ribosomal RNA", at positions 568 to 774 of the family's 1533-position model. The record is from RNAcentral.
CUCGUAGGUGGCCAACUAAGUCAGACGUGAAAUCCCUCGGCUUAACCGGGGAACUGCGUCUGAUACUGGAUGGCUUGAGGUUGGGAGAGGGAUGCGGAAUUCCAGGUGUAGCGGUGAAAUGCGUAGAUAUCUGGAGGAACACCGGUGGCGAAGGCGGCAUCCUGGACCAAUUCUGACGCUGAGGAGCGAAAGCCAGGGGGAGCAAACG